GUAUUAAAAUGUGGAGAUUUUAGUAUCGAAAUUAACCUCAACCACACUAACUCCUUGGAAGCGUGAUCUUUGUUGCCAGACAUACUCCGCCAGAAUAACACUACACGGCCACACGAACAAUCCAUAAUCUUCUUUCAUGCUCUGGGAAUUAAUGGAAGUACCUCGAUGACGGUGAUGGAGAUGGCGUCAUCGGAGCCGUUUGAGUCUCCGAAAUAGUGAUGAGAUAUGGUGGUCAUGUUUUCUGUUGCCGGAAUUUCCGGUGAGCCGCCGCCGUCGCUGUUGUUGGCUUCCAUGGAGCCGCCGCGCUGAGAAUGGCCCGGUGGUCGGCGGUGAAUUUUACUUUUCGUGUGAAGGUUAUUUUGAUAAUUUCAUGUUAACAUUUUAGAUUUACACUAUGUUCCCGAGUUUCAUUUAACAAGGGAAGAGAAAGGAAUUAAAAGGAAAAGAGUAAAAAAUGUGUUCCAGAGAUUUUUUAGAAAGGGAAGUGGUGAGAAAAGAAAGGAAACAAGGGGAUGAUUGAUGCAAAUAUUCAUCCUCCCAAUUUGGAGAGAUUUGGUGAGAAAAGAUUAUUAUAAAUCUUAGACUUUUUUAAAUUUCCUAAAUUACCCUCUAAUUCAUUAUAAAUAAACUUUCUUUUCUUUUCCUCCCAACUCGGGAACACAUAAAAUGUUUAAUUUCCUUUCAUUUCCUUUUCUUUUCAUUAAACUCGGGAACACGAAUAUAAUCACAUCUUUUCCUUUCCAUUCCCUUAUAAUUUCUCUUCCUUUCUCUUCUAUCGUUAGAGUAAAUUGUCCAAAUUAGUUCAUGAGGUUUUUUCUAAAUUUACCAAUUUUAGUAUAAAUAUAAAUUAUUUUUUUUUAUACUGGGCCUGACUUUUCUUUUUUAUUGUCAUUUUGAUUAUAUACCCUAACUUUAUUCAUAAACCUAUUUUUAAUCAGGGUGUUUUGAGGAUUUUCAAUUUAAAUAUUUCCAGAUGCUCGAUUUUAUGGUGUAUUUUUUUAAAAUAAUGUCAUAUAAAAAGAAAGGUUAUGGAUGUUUAAAAAAUGAGGGGAUGGGGGAGGAUUAUACAUAGUGAAGAAAGAAAGUCAACAAAUAAGUUUUUCCAAGAAUGCAUUUGCACUCCUUUUUUUUCUACUUUAACUUUAUUUUUAUUUUUAUCGUAUUUAUACAAAAUUAACUUUUUUCAUUGAUCGUACCCCUAGAUAUGGUAUACCAGUCAUAAUAUACACGACUUGUAUCAUGUCAAAAUAUCUAUCAAUAAUGGUUUAUAAUUAUCCGGUGGUUUGUUAAAUCGUGUCAAAAGUGGAUUUAAAAAAUAGCUUUAUUUCCUGACAAAAAUAAUUUGUUAACAAGGGAGAUGAUCAAACAGUGAGUUUACUUUGUAUAGGAAGUGUAGAAAACAAUAAUAGGAGGAAAUGUGACAAAUAACAAAAAAACAUGGGGAUGAACGUUUUAGUCAAUCUCAUCUCAUCUUCUAUUUUUCUCUUUCCCCGUAUCCUCGAAACCCACCAUUUUCAAAGCCCAUUAUCUUCAACAUUUUUUCAGUUUCUCUCUCUAUAAUCAAUACAUAAUUUUGCGAUUUUCUUCGUCAAUCAAUGAUUUAAACACUCAAAUAACGCGUUCUUCAACUUUUUUGAAUAAACCCAGUUUUUUUCUAGUAAUUUUGAAGCAAAUCACUCGAUUUGUUCUAUUCGAUCGUUGAUCAGUGUUUCUAGCAUUCAAAUUUCGUCAAUCAUUGAAGAAAUCAUAAGAAAUCGGAUUUGAUCUCUGUAAGAAAUCUGAAGAAUUUCAUCAAUCAUUGCGUUUUACAAUCCGGGUUUUCAAAUCAUAUUUUAGAGAAAGACAUUUUUUUUGUCUUUAGUCAAUUGCGUUUUAGAAAAAAAACACAUAUUUUUGUGUUUUUAGUUUAUUGCGUUUUAGAAAAAUACAUUUUUGUGUUUUUUUUUUGUCCAUUGCGUUUUAGAAAGAAAAAAAAACCAUUCUUUUGUGUGUAUAGAGUACAUUGCGUUUUAGAAAAAAAACACAUUUUUUGUGUUUUUAGUGUAUUGCGUUUUAGAAAAAAAAAAAACACAUUCUUUUGUGUUUUUUAUCCAUUGCGUUUUAGAAAAAAAAUACCAUUUUUGUGUUUUUAGUCCAUUGCGUUUUACGAAUCUGAGUUUUCGAUUUUUUUUUAAAUAUAGCAAAAGUAUACUCAUUUCAAAGGUAAAAAAAUGCUCGUUUUUAUGGUGCAAUUUUUAUAAAAGAGUAAAUUACAAGUUUUGUCCUUUAUGUUUGUACCAAAUUACAGGCGGUGUCCUUUACCUUUAAAUUUGACGAGUUUUGUCCUUGAUGUUUUAAAAUCCUACACGUUAUGUCCUUUAGCCCUAACCUAGUUAGAUUUUUUGGUUAAAUAUGGUCAUGUGCCUUGCACAUGAGGGUAUUUUUGUCAUUUUACCUCUCCAGGGGCUAUUGAGUAAACAACUUAUAUCAAGGGACUA
This 2477-nucleotide long non-coding RNA is filed under the name Helianthus annuus (common sunflower). RNAcentral describes it as "hypothetical non coding rna". The record is from RNAcentral. Lineage: Eukaryota; Viridiplantae; Streptophyta; Magnoliopsida; Asterales; Asteraceae.